UGGCGGCAGGCCUAACACAUGCAAGUCGAGCGGAUGAGAAGAGCUUGCUCUUCGAUUCAGCGGCGGACGGGUGAGUAAUACCUAGGAAUCUGCCUGGUAGUGGGGGACAACGUUUCGAAAGGAACGCUAAUACCGCAUACGUCCUACGGGAGAAAGCAGGGGACCUUCGGGCCUUGCGCUAUCAGAUGAGCCUAGGUCGGAUUAGCUAGUUGGUGAGGUAAUGGCUCACCAAGGCUACGAUCCGUAACUGGUCUGAGAGGAUGAUCAGUCACACUGGAACUGAGACACGGUCCAGACUCCUACGGGAGGCAGCAGUGGGGAAUAUUGGACAAUGGGCGAAAGCCUGAUCCAGCCAUGCCGCGUGUGUGAAGACGGUCUUCGGAUUGUAAAGCACUUUAAGUUGGGAGGAAGGGCAGUAAGCGAAUACCUUGCUGUUUUGACGUUGCCGACAGAAUAAGCACCGGCUAACUCUGUGCCAGCAGCCGCGGUAAUACAGAGGGUGCAAGCGUUAAUCGGAAUUACUGGGCGUAAAGCGCGCGUAGGUGGUUCGUUAAGUUGGAUGUGAAAUCCCCGGGCUCAACCUGGGAACUGCAUCCAAAACUGGCGAGCUAGAGUAGGGCAAAGGGGGGGGGAAUUUCCUGUGUAGCGGGGAAAUGCGUAGAUAUAGGAAGAACACCAGGGGCGAGGCGACACCUGGGCUCAUACUGACACUGGAGUGCGAAGCGUGGGG
This 730-nucleotide ribosomal RNA is filed under the name uncultured bacterium. RNAcentral describes it as "bacterial SSU rRNA". It matches the Rfam family "Bacterial small subunit ribosomal RNA", at positions 37 to 766 of the family's 1533-position model. The record is from RNAcentral.